GUCCUGCCACUCUUGGUGUGAAGAACGCUACAGUCCAUUAUUCUGGGCAGGGGAAGUGAGAGGGCGGUGUGGUGGAGUUCCGUUGGCCAUCAGUGUGAAACCACUAGAGAAUCUCUCCCUGAAGGUGCCUGUAUUUCUCCCUGAGAGUACAGGACUCCAGGCAACUGUUGCACAGGUCUUCAUUGAUCCUGUGCCAGUACUGAGCCAAGAAAAGUAUGAAUAUCUGGUUACUGCUUCAGCACAAUGGACUGAUUAAAAGCUGCCAUUUUCUAACAGAAAAAUAAAAUUUGGCUUGAAGACUGCCUACA
RNAcentral lists this long non-coding RNA (308 nucleotides) under Anser cygnoides (Swan goose). RNAcentral describes it as "lncRNA (ENSACDG00005017417.1)". The record is from RNAcentral. Lineage: Eukaryota; Metazoa; Chordata; Aves; Anseriformes; Anatidae.